Salvelinus sp. IW2-2015 is the source of this 1801-nucleotide long non-coding RNA. RefSeq lists it as uncharacterized. The record is from RefSeq and is a predicted model, not a curated record. Lineage: Eukaryota; Metazoa; Chordata; Actinopteri; Salmoniformes; Salmonidae.
UCACCCGGAGACUGAGUAUCAAUGUAGAAGGCACCACCGUUCACACUGAUCAUGAUCAUGGCAACGAGACCACCCCUCUCCUGGGAAAUAGGAGGCAAGGGCUAAAGGGGCCUCCUUCCCCUCAUCUGUCUUCAAUCUGAUGAAGGCCAUCAUGGGCAGUGCCAUCCUGGACCUGGCCUACGCAAUGGCCAACACCGGUAUAGUGGGCUUCUGUUGCUGCUAGUGUCCAGUCUGGCAGCUUACUCUAUACACCUCCUACUGAUGCUGUGUGAUCUAACAGGUGAGUUGGCAUUCAGAUCUCCACUCAAACAUCAGUUGAAUUUCAUUAGGCUGCCGCUGUGUAAUGUCCAUUUAGCUCUUUAAAAAAAAGUUGUAAUGUUUUGUAUUUUUGUAUUUGUUUCUUAUUCACUCUAUAUAUGAACAACAACAUAGAUGCACACAAACAGUGACUACAUCUCAUCUGCCCAGACCCGCAUGCUCACCCCCCAUCCCUAGUGCCUCCAUUAUUGUUUGCCACUUGGCCUUAAAUUGUAACAAUUUGUAUUUCUCGGUCGCCCAUGCUAUUUCAUUAUUUCAAUACUAAAUCAUUAGAUGUUUUCAUUGAGUUAAUGAUGGAACUUUGAUUUUCAAGUUUUUAGUACAUGUAUUUUCAAGAUGAUGAUGAGAAGAGAAUCGUCCAGACUAUUGGGUAUCUCACGACACCCCCAUAUGCCAUGUCUUGAAAUAUGCAGACAGACGGAUAUUUGUUUUUUACAUUGUAAUACUUCUGUCACCCAACUUUCUAGCCCACAUUUAUUUGGAAUUUAUAGCAUUCCUAGAAUGCAUGGAUUAUUGAGUCAUUAGUUUUACAUUUAGGACAUGACUCUGCCGUUGUGCUGUAGAAUUUGUGAGUUUUGUCUCUUGUAUAAUACCUUCUAUACUUCAGUUUCGUUAGUUAUGCUCCAAUCAGUUAUUCUUAAGUCUUGGUUCCAAUCAUUUAUAUUUUUUUUCUAAGAGAUUGUCAGUUAGAUAUGUUCUCUGCAAGAUUUUGUGUAUCUUCCCUAUCAUAUGAACAUACUUUUCAGACUCAAAUAAGAUUCCCUCAAGGUUGCUUUGAUGUCCAAAAGAUUUCAAAUCUACAUUUCGUGAUAAGUUGCAUAUAUUUGAAACUAUCUACAUUGGUCAGUCCAAAAUUACUUUUUAAUUUUGUCAUCCAGAUAAAUGUAUUUCCUGUUACCAAGUCAUUUACAGUUUCUAUGCCUUUAGUCUUCCUUGUGGACCAAUUUAUUGUUGAAUUGUGAAAAGCGAUCCAAGGAUUGUUCCAUAGGGUUGUGUUUUUAGGACUGAUAUUGGUUCUUGUAGAAUACGUUUCAUUUUCUUCCAUAUUGUUAUAGUGUUCUUAACUAUGAAGUUAAUGUUUUUAUCUUGAUCCUCUGAAAAUAAACCUGUAAAAAGAUUCUGGAGAUGAGCAUCUUCAGUAUGUACCCAUUGUUCCCAUUUGGUGCAUUUAACUAUAUGUAAAAGCCUUUGUUAGCGAGUUGAUACAAUUCCAAGUCUGGAAGGUUUAAACCCUCAGACUUAGGAAGAUGUGAGAUAUGAGUUUUAUUUGCCCAUAUAAAGUCUUAUGACCGAGUAUACUUUUUUUAAAGAAUGUCUUCGGUAGGGUAAUUGGUAAUACCGAAAAGAAAUACAAAAACUUUGUCAGCCAUGCCAUUCUACAGAGGUUUAUUCUACUUGUAAGAUUCAUGGGAAGAUUUUAAUUUAAUUAGAUCUGCUUUCAUAUUGUUGAGUAAUGGAAUAUUUAUUUAUGUUUGUUACUUAU